RNA transcript from Gadus morhua (Atlantic cod), 2130 nucleotides. It is a transcript of the gene named CDP-L-ribitol pyrophosphorylase A, with no coding region annotated. Lineage: Eukaryota; Metazoa; Chordata; Actinopteri; Gadiformes; Gadidae. The record is from RefSeq and is a predicted model, not a curated record. The transcript is spliced from 11 exons.
CUCCGCCCACACAGACACCACACGCACACGCUUGUCGUCAAGACAUGACGCGAGAAACACAACAUUGAGAGUUAUGUCUUGAUUUGUAAUGAAUCUAAGUAGUGACCCGGACCGCUCUGGUCAGCCAGAGUGUUCGUCUCGCCAUGGUGGCGGACAUAAAGCCACGUCAGGCGUCCAUUUCACCGUCUCCGUGGUUCUUCCAGCCGGGGGAACCGGGGAGAGAACCGGGCUCGUGACACCGAAACAGUUUUACAUGUUUCUUAACAGACCACUCAUAAGCUACACCAUUCAAGCCUUUGAAAGGCUGUCAUGGAUCCAACACAUUGUGGUGGUGGUUGCAGAAGAAAGCAUUGCGCUGAUGACAGACAUCGUCCAGCGCUUUCAGCACACAAAGGUCCGUGUCGUGUCUGGCGGUGCCACCCGGCACAGGUCCAUAUUCAACGGCGUGCAGGCCCUCGACCCGGGCGAGAGCGCUGCAACGCCAGACGUGGUCAUCAUCCAUGAUGCCGUGCGGCCCUUUGUGGAGGAGGACUUCCUGUUGGAGAUUGCCAUGGCUGCAAAGGAGAACGGGGCAUCGGGGGCCAUCCGUCCCCUGGUUUCCACGGUGAUUGCCACCACCUCUGAGGGCUACCUGGACCACUCUCUGGAGAGGGGGAAGUACCGGGCUAGUGAGAUGCCACAGGGGUUCCUCUACUGUGUCAUCCAUCAGGCCUAUCAAAAGUGCAGCGAGUUCGACUUUGACUUUGGAACCGAGUGUCUCCACCUGGCCUUACAGCACACCGGCACCAGAGCCAAGCUCAUCGAGGGCCCGCCAACGCUGUGGAAGGUGACCUACAAGAGAGACCUGGCUGCGGCCGAGUCCAUCAUCAAAGAGACUUUAUGCAGGUCGGCCUGCUUAACCUCCGAUGGCUCCAAGAGGGCCAGGGAGCUGGGGCGGUGUCUACAGAAGCUCAUGGCUUCUUUAGACAUGGAGCUGGACGUGCUCCCAGAACCGAUUGGGGAUGCCAGCCGUCUGUCAAAAGAAUGGAACUUCAUCAAACUUUUUUUGAAUGGUUCCGGUCUUUCUGAAGUAGAGGAAACGGUCAAAGCACUGGAGGCUGCCAACCGAGCACUGCUCCACCCUGUUGUUGUUGUUUGGGUGCGUUUGGAAACUUCAGAUGGCAUGUCCGUCAGUGAGACUGGGGCGGGGCAUCUGCCAUUGAUGGAACUUGCAUCAGCUGCCAAGCUCCAGAAUAUUCUACUCUACGGCAUCCAUUUUCUUCUCUCUGAGCACCGGCUCCCUGGCCCCAUCAGCAGACGCUUGUUUGUCCUUCAAUAACUCUUCAUCUCCUGCGAUCCAACUCUAAACGUGUGGAUUAGUGACAUGGGGGUCCGGCCUCAGUCGUACAUCAGAUGUCUCCAUCCAGACAGAAGCCGGGGCCCCGGGGCCCCCUCCGUGGUGAUGUAUCUGCAGAGUGUUAAGGAGGACGCCGGGUUCUCUGAGGGGUCAGUGAAGCGGUUGGCUGAGCUCACCUACACCUUGAUCCAUGACCGAAACGCCCUCCUGGCCGGGCAGAUACUGUGUGCCUGAAACCAGGGAGCCGUACCGUAACCAUGGUGAUGUUGGACCCUGGAAUGACGUACUAUGGAUAUUUGACAUCUCCUGAAAUGAGCUUCAUGGCUUAAAUCAUGUCCAGCAUGUUGAGCUGUUUUCAUGUUAAACCUCCACAUAUAUAACCACUCAUAGUGUGUAUAUAUAUAUGUGUAUACAUACUCCUAGGGCCCCUUUGGGAAACAUAAAGGUUCAACAAAAAUCCAAAAUUUGGUUUGAUUCUUGAUGCAUUAUCUAGGAGACGAUUGUUGUGGUUAACUUCAUGGGCAUGUAGAUGACUUGACAGGCGUUUUAAUUCAAGUUCUUCCAUUUCAAAACAUCUCUCUCUAAUUCUGAAUAGCUCAGGAAUGUGGCUUGCAAGUGAUUUCUGUACUAAAGAGUACAAACAGAAUUGAGAGGAAGUAUGUGAAACUGUAAAUGUAAAUGUUCACACAUGUAAACAUAUUUACUUCUCAACACUGUAUAAGGUUUAAUUUCCCAAACUGAUACACUAACAUUGUGAAUAAAUAUCACAUGAAAUAAAAUGCUUUUUGGUAAAA